GACGAACGCUGGCGGCGUGCUUAACACAUGCAAGUCGUACGGUAAGGCCCUUUCGGGGGUACACGAGUGGCGAACGGGUGAGUAACACGUGAGUAACCUGCCCACAACUUUGGGAUAACGCUAGGAAACUGGUGCUAAUACUGGAUAUGUGCUCCUGCUGCAUGGUGGGGGCUGGAAAGCUCCGGCGGUUGUGGAUGGACUCGCGGCCUAUCAGCUUGUUGGUGGGGUAGUGGCCUACCAAGGCGGCGACGGGUAGCCGGCCGGAGAGGGUGACCGGCCACAUUGGGACUGAGAUACGGCCCAGACUCCUACGGGAGGCAGCAGUGGGGAAUAUUGCACAAUGGGCGCAAGCCUGAUGCAGCAACGCCGCGUGCGGGAUGACGGCCUUCGGGUUGUAAACCGCUUUCAGCAGGGACGAAGCUUUUUGUGACGGUACCUGCAGAAGAAGCACCGGCUAACUACGUG
RNAcentral lists this ribosomal RNA (465 nucleotides) under uncultured bacterium. Its description in RNAcentral is "partial 16S ribosomal RNA". It matches the Rfam family "Bacterial small subunit ribosomal RNA", at positions 28 to 507 of the family's 1533-position model. The record is from RNAcentral.